This 492-nucleotide ribosomal RNA is filed under the name uncultured bacterium. Its description in RNAcentral is "partial 16S ribosomal RNA". It matches the Rfam family "Bacterial small subunit ribosomal RNA", at positions 29 to 507 of the family's 1533-position model. The record is from RNAcentral.
AGUGAACGCUGGCGGUAGGCCUAACACAUGCAAGUCGAACGGCAGCACAGUAAGAGCUUGCUCUUACGGGUGGCGAGUGGCGGACGGGUGAGGAAUACAUCGGAAUCUACUUUUUCGUGGGGGAUAACGUAGGGAAACUUACGCUAAUACCGCAUACGACCUACGGGUGAAAGCAGGGGAUCUUCGGACCUUGUGCGAUUGAAUGAGCCGAUGUCGGAUUAGCUAGUUGGCGGGGUAAAGGCCCACCAAGGCGACGAUCCGUAGCUGGUCUGAGAGGAUGAUCAGCCACACUGGAACUUAGACACGGUCCAGACUCCUACGGGAGGCAGCAGUGGGGAAUAUUGGACAAUGGGCGCAAGCCUGAUCCAGCCAUACCGCGUGGGUGAAGAAGGCCUUCGGGUUGUAAAGCCCUUUUGUUGGGAAAGAAAAGCAGCAGGUUAAUACCCCGCUGUUCUGACGGUACCCAAAGAAUAAGCACCGGCUAACUUCGUG